This 483-nucleotide ribosomal RNA is filed under the name uncultured bacterium. RNAcentral's name for it is "partial 16S ribosomal RNA". It matches the Rfam family "Bacterial small subunit ribosomal RNA", at positions 30 to 506 of the family's 1533-position model. The record is from RNAcentral.
AUUGAACGCUGGCGGCAGGCCUAACACAUGCAAGUCGAGCGGAUGAAGGGAGCUUGCUCCUGGAUUCAGCGGCGGACGGGUGAGUAAUGCCUAGGAAUCUGCCUGGUAGUGGGGGAUAACGUCCGGAAACGGGCGCUAAUACCGCAUACGUCCUGAGGGAGAAAGUGGGGGAUCUUCGGACCUCACGCUAUCAGAUGAGCCUAGGUCGGAUUAGCUAGUUGGUGGGGUAAAGGCCUACCAAGGCGACGAUCCGUAACUGGUCUGAGAGGAUGAUCAGUCACACUGGAACUGAGACACGGUCCAGACUCCGACGGGAGGCAGCAGUGGGGAAUAUUGGACAAUGGGCGAAAGCCUGAUCCAGCCAUGCCGCGGGUGUGAAGAAGGUCUUCGGAUUGUAAAGCACUUUAAGUUGGGAGGAAGGGCAGUAAGUUAAGACCUUGCUGUUUGGACGUGACCAACAGAAUAAGCACCGGCGAACUUCGU